UGUGUGUGUAUAAAUAUCUAUUUAUACAUACAUAUUAGGACUACCUAAGACAGACAUCAUAAAUCUGUGUACGUGUCACCAGUUUUAGCGUCAUUAUAUUGGUUACUCGUGUCAUUUAGAAUUGACUUUAAAAUACUACAACAGAUAGUCCCCUGCUUAUGAACUUUUGAGAUGUGAACUUUCAUAUAUAUGAACAAAGUGGUCCUCAAGUCCAAAAUUAGCACUUAAGGAUAAUUCACAUGUCUGCCAAAUGGUGGCAUCAGGGGUGGGAAGAUCUU
Long non-coding RNA from Erpetoichthys calabaricus (reedfish), 278 nucleotides. RefSeq lists it as uncharacterized. NCBI's taxonomy places the organism in Eukaryota, Metazoa, Chordata, Cladistia, Polypteriformes, Polypteridae. The record is from RefSeq and is a predicted model, not a curated record. The transcript has 3 exons.